This 71-nucleotide transfer RNA is filed under the name Patescibacteria group bacterium. RNAcentral describes it as "tRNA-Trp". It matches the Rfam family "tRNA". From Rfam's summary of the family: Transfer RNA (tRNA) molecules are approximately 80 nucleotides in length. Their secondary structure includes four short double-helical elements and three loops (D, anti-codon, and T loops). The record is from RNAcentral. RNAcentral also lists the same sequence under 1 other name.
GGGGGCGUAGUACAAUGGUAGUAUGACGGUCUCCAAAACCGUGGACGUGGGUUCGAUUCCUACCGCCCCUG